This 462-nucleotide long non-coding RNA is filed under the name Capsella rubella. Its description in RNAcentral is "long non-coding RNA (CRUB_LNC003072)". The record is from RNAcentral. Lineage: Eukaryota; Viridiplantae; Streptophyta; Magnoliopsida; Brassicales; Brassicaceae.
AGCUUGUAUCUUGAGAGCUUGGGAAGAUAGGUGCGACAUCUUGGGACUCUCUGCAAUGUCUUUAGUGUCCUUAAAAUGCAACAGCCUUGAUAGAGAAAGAGCCGUUGUAGAGUUAAAGGUCCAAGUGUGAAGGCUUCUAGAAUAGGAAAGUAGAGGUGCAAGAGGAUUCGCCUAAUCCUCUGGAUGCUAGUGCAUGGUGUGGCAUCUUGGACUGUCUCUAGAUGAUAAAUAAGUUCUCCAGGUCGCCAAACAUAAUCCUCGAAGAAACCAAAUAAGGAAAGUUCCAUUUUUGGUAACACAUGGCCCUCGGGUAAGGCCAAAUGAGCAAGUACUAAACCAACUCGAACCAGGGGUAUUUUGGCUCGAUCAAUAUGCUCCAAAUAGUUGAUUUGAUGGUGAAUAAUGAAGCCGAGAUCAAAUGGACGAGUGAAUUCUCCAAACUGCGGCUUAGCUCGCCAAUGA